GAUGAACGCUGGCGGCGUGCCUAAUACAUGCAAGUCGAACGCUGGAACUCUAGCUUGCUAGAUUGAAGGAGUGGCGAACGGGUGAGUAAUACAUAAGCAACCUACCCACGAAGACUGGGAUAAUCUCUGGAAACGGGGACUAAUACCGGAUAGGUAAUCGGAAGGCAUCUUCUGAUUAUUAAAGGUUAAAAACACUGGUGGAUGGGCUUAUGGCGCAUUAGUUAGUUGGUGAGGUAACGGCCCACCAAGACGAUGAUGCGUAGCCGGCCUGAGAGGGUGAACGGCCACAUUGGGACUGAGACACGGCCCAGACUCCUACGGGAGGCAGCAGUAGGGAAGUUUCGGCAAUGGGGGAAACCCUGACCGAGCAACGCCGCGUGAGUGAUGACGGCCUUCGGGUUGUAAAGCUCUGUUGUAAGGGAAGAACGGUAGAUAGAGAAUAUCUAAAUGACGGUACCUUACCAGAAAGCCACGGCUAACUACGUG
RNAcentral lists this ribosomal RNA (486 nucleotides) under uncultured bacterium. Its description in RNAcentral is "partial 16S ribosomal RNA". It matches the Rfam family "Bacterial small subunit ribosomal RNA", at positions 28 to 507 of the family's 1533-position model. The record is from RNAcentral.